Molecule: ribosomal RNA, 497 nt
Filed under: uncultured bacterium
Lineage: Bacteria
Description: partial 16S ribosomal RNA
Rfam family: Bacterial small subunit ribosomal RNA
Source: RNAcentral
GAUGAACGCUGGCGGCGUGCCUAAUACAUGCAAGUCGAACGCAUAGCGAAAGGUGCUUGCACCUUUCAAGUGAGUGGCGAACGGGUGAGUAACACGUGGACAACCUGCCUCAAGGCUGGGGAUAACAUUUGGAAACAGAUGCUAAUACCGAAUAAAACUUAGUGUCGCAUGACACAAAGUUAAAAGGCGCUUCGGCGUCACCUAGAGAUGGAUCCGCGGUGCAUUAGUUAGUUGGUGGGGUAAAGGCCUACCAAGACAAUGAUGCAUAGCCGAGUUGAGAGACUGAUCGGCCACAUUGGGACUGAGACACGGCCCAAACUCCUACGGGAGGCUGCAGUAGGGAAUCUUCCACAAUGGGCGAAAGCCUGAUGGAGCAACGCCGCGUGUGUGAUGAAGGCUUUCGAGUCGUAAAGCACUGUUGUAUGGGAAGAACAGCUAGAAUAGGAAAUGAUUUUAGUUUGACGGUACCAUACCAGAAAGGGACGGCUAAAUACGUG